GGGGUGGAAAGGUAAGUCUACUGUCUGGGGUAGAAAGGUAAGUCUACUGUCUGGGGUAGAAAGGUAUGCCUACUGUCUGGGGUAGAAAGGUAUGCCUACUGUCUGGGGUGGAAAGGUAAGUCUACUGUCUGGGGUAGAAAGGUAAGUCUACUGUCUGGGGUAGAAAGGUAUGCCUCCUGUCUGGGGUAGAAAGGUAUGCCUCCUGUCUGGGGUAGAAAGGUAUGCCUCCUGUCUGGGGUAGAAAGGUAGGCCUACUGUCUGGGGUAGAAAGGUAAGUCUACUGUCUGGGGUAGAAAGGUAAGUCUACUGUCUGGGGUAGAAAGGUAGGCCUACUGUCUGGGGUAGAAAG
This is a long non-coding RNA of Oncorhynchus tshawytscha (Chinook salmon), 349 nucleotides long. NCBI's taxonomy places the organism in Eukaryota, Metazoa, Chordata, Actinopteri, Salmoniformes, Salmonidae. The record is from Ensembl.